This 523-nucleotide ribosomal RNA is filed under the name uncultured bacterium. RNAcentral describes it as "partial 16S ribosomal RNA". It matches the Rfam family "Bacterial small subunit ribosomal RNA", at positions 356 to 895 of the family's 1533-position model. The record is from RNAcentral.
GGGGAAUAUUGCACAAUGGGCGAAAGCCUGAUGCAGCAACGCCGCGUGAGUGAUGAAGGUCUUCGGAUUGUAAAGCUCUGUCUUUUGGGACGAUAAUGACGGUACCAAAGGAGGAAGCCACGGCUAACUACGUGCCAGCAGCCGCGGUAAUACGUAGGUGGCGAGCGUUGUCCGGAUUUACUGGGCGUAAAGGGUGCGUAGGCGGAUGUUUAAGUGAGAUGUGAAAUACCCGGGCUUAACUUGGGUGCUGCAUUUCAAACUGGAUAUCUAGAGUGCAGGAGAGGAGAAUGGAAUUCCUAGUGUAGCGGUGAAAUGCGUAGAGAUUAGGAAGAACACCAGUGGCGAAGGCGAUUCUCUGGACUGUAACUGACGCUGAGGCACGAAAGCGUGGGUAGCAAACAGGAUUAGAUACCCUGGUAGUCCACGCCGUAAACGAUGAGUACUAGGUGUAGGAGGUGUCGACCCCUUCUGUGCCGCAGUAAACACAUUAAGUACUCCGCCUGGGAAGUACGAUCGCAAGAUU